UUUUGUGUGUGUUAUUUGAUGAUGUCCGAAUUAUGUGUUAAAGAACAUACCUGAUUGUUUAUGAUAACUUAGGUUAAAGAAUAAACCUAAGGUUUGUUAUAAUGGUUAUGGGGUAGUAUCUCUUUAUGAGUACGAGUGAGAUAUAUACGGAUAAUAGAACUUUAAAAUAUGUCAUUGAUCCGGCAGCAUGGAUUAGACAUAGUUAUUCGUCCCUAGUCCGAGAGUAUGGAUUGGACUUAGUUAAUUGUGAUUAAUCCGGAAGUAUGGAUUAAGACAUAGUCAGUUGUCCUUAGUCCAGGAGUAUGGACAGGACAUAGAAUCUGUCAUUAGUCCGGGAGUAUGGAUUUAGACAUAGACCAAUUAUCUCUCAUCUGAGAGUAUGGAAUGGGCACAAUCACGGACUCGAGAAUAUGGAUUAGAUCCAGGAGUAAGAGUUAAAAUUUAAGGUGAUUAAUCCGGAAGUAUGGAUUAAGACAUAGUCAGUUGUCCUUAGUCCAGGAG
RNAcentral lists this long non-coding RNA (501 nucleotides) under Lactuca sativa (garden lettuce). RNAcentral describes it as "long non-coding RNA (LSAT_LNC001699)". Lineage: Eukaryota; Viridiplantae; Streptophyta; Magnoliopsida; Asterales; Asteraceae. The record is from RNAcentral.